RNAcentral lists this ribosomal RNA (385 nucleotides) under uncultured bacterium. RNAcentral describes it as "bacterial SSU rRNA". It matches the Rfam family "Bacterial small subunit ribosomal RNA", at positions 28 to 414 of the family's 1533-position model. The record is from RNAcentral.
GACGAACGCUGGCGGCGUGCUUAACACAUGCAAGUCGAGCGGUAAGGCCCUUUCGGGGGUACACGAGCGGCGAACGGGUGAGUAACACGUGGGUGACCUGCCCUCAGCUCUGGGAUAAGCCUGGGAAACUGGGUCUAAUACUGGAUAUGACUCUACGGUGCAUGUCGUGGGGUGGAAAGCCUUGUGCGGCUGAGGAUGGGCCCGCGGCCUAUCAGCUUGUUGGUGGGGUGAUGGCCUACCAAGGCGACGACGGGUAGCCGGCCUGAGAGGGCGACCGGCCACACUGGGACUGAGACACGGCCCAGACUCCUACGGGAGGCAGCAGUGGGGAAUCUUGCGCAAUGGGCGAAAGCCUGACGCAGCGACGCCGCGUGAGGGAUGACGG